Molecule: ribosomal RNA, 1423 nt
Filed under: metagenome
Description: bacterial SSU rRNA
Rfam family: Bacterial small subunit ribosomal RNA
Source: RNAcentral
AGAGUUUGAUCCUGGCUCAGAAUGAACGCUAGCAGUAUACUUUACACAUGCAAGUUGAACGGAAAAGAAAUUUUUAGUAGCGAACGGGUGAAUAAUUACAUAAGAAUUUACCUUUAGGAAGAGGAUACCAGUAAGAAAUUACUAUUAAUACUCUAUUUAAAAAAGAAGGAAUUUCGCCUAAAGAAAAGCUUAUGUCUGAUUAGCUAGUUGGUUAGAUAAAAGCUUACCAAGGCGAUGAUCAGUAGCUGGUUUGAGAGAACGGUCAGCCACAUUGGAACUGAGAUACGGUCCAACCUUUUACGGAAGGCAGCAGUGAGGAAUUUUUUGCAAUGGGCGAAAGCCUGACAGAGUAAUAUUGCGUGAGGGAUGACAGUUUAAGAAUUUUAAACCUCUUUGCUUCAAGGAAGAAUAAAUGACGUUACUUGAGGUAAAAAGCAUCGGCUAACUUCGUGCCAGCAGCCGCGGUAAGACGAGGGAUGCGAGUGUUAUUCGGAAUUAUUGGGUGUAAAGCGUCUGUGGGUUGUCUUUUAAGUUUUUUGUUAAAUUUAUAAACUCAAUUUAUAAGCUGCAAAAAAUACUAUUAGUCUAGAGUAUGAAGGAAGUAAAGGGAAUUUUUAGUGAAGCAGUGAAAUGCGUAGAUAUUAAAAAGAACACCAAAAGCGAAGGCACUUUACUAUAUUAUUACUGACACUAAGAGACGAAAGUUGGGGGAGCAAAAGGGAUUAGAUACCCCUGUGGUCCCAACUGUAAACGAUGAAUACUAAAUAUUGUAUUAAUUUUAAUACAGUGUUACAGCUAACGCGUUAAGUAUUCCACCUGGGAAGUACGCUCGCAAGAGUGAAACUCAAAGGAAUUGGCGGGAGUCUGCACAAUCGGUGGAUCAUGUGGUUUAAUUCGAUGCAACACGAAAAACCUUACCAGGACUUGACAUGAAGAGAAGUUUAUUUAAUUUUAAACAUGCUACGGCCUCUUACACAGGUGGUGCAUGGCUGUCGUCAGUUCGUGUCGUGAGAUGUUAGGUUAAGUCCUAUAACGAACGCAACCCUUAUCUUUAGUCUAUUCUUUCUAAAGAGACUGCCGAUUAUAAAUCGGAGGAAGGUGAGGAUGACGUCAAGUCAUCAUGCCCUUUAUGUCCUGGGCUACACACGUGAUACAAUGGAUAUUACAAAAAGUUGCAAACUUGUAAAAGUAAGCUAAUCUUUGAAAAGUAUUCUUAGUUCAGAUUGUAGACUGAAAUUCGUCUACAUGAAGUUGGAAUCGCUAGUAAUCGCAAGUCAGCUAUAUUGCGGUGAAUAUGUUCUCAGACUUUGCACACACCGCCCGUCACACCAAGGGAAUCGGCUCUACUUGAAUAUACUUUUUAACCUUUGGAUAAGGGUAUAUAGAGUCUAGUUGGUAACUGUGGUGAAGUCGUAACAAGGUA